RNAcentral lists this ribosomal RNA (452 nucleotides) under uncultured bacterium. RNAcentral's name for it is "partial 16S ribosomal RNA". It matches the Rfam family "Bacterial small subunit ribosomal RNA", at positions 29 to 506 of the family's 1533-position model. The record is from RNAcentral.
AUGAACGCUGACAGAAUGCUUAACACAUGCAAGUCAACUUGAACUUCGGUUUGGGUGGCGGACGGGUGAGUAACGCGUAAAGAACUUGCCUCACAGAUAGGGACAACAUUUGGAAACGAAUGCUAAUACCUGAUAUUAUGAUUAUAUGGCAUCGUAUAAUUAUGAAAGCUAUAUGCGCUGUGAGAGAGCUUUGCGUCCCAUUAGCUAGUUGGAGAGGUAACGGCUCACCAAGGCGAUGAUGGGUAGCCGGCCUGAGAGGGUGAUCGGCCACAAGGGGACUGAGACACGGCCCUUACUCCUACGGGAGGCAGCAGUGGGGAAUAUUGGACAAUGGACCAAGAGUCUGAUCCAGCAAUUCUGUGUGCACGAUGAAGUUUUUCGGAAUGUAAAGUGCUUUCAGUUGGGAAGAAAAAAAUGACGGUACCAACAGAAGAAGUGACGGCUAAAUACGU